UACAGAGGGGGCAAGCGUUGUUCGGAAUUACUGGGCGUAAAGGGCGCGUAGGCGGCCUGUUAAGUCGAACGUGAAAUCCCCAGGCUCAACCUGGGAACUGCGUCUGAUACUGGCAGGCUUGAAUCCGGGAGAGGGAUGCGGAAUUCCAGGUGUAGCGGUGAAAUGCGUAGAUAUCUGGAGGAACACCGGUGGCGAAGGCGGCAUCCUGGACCGGUAUUGACGCUGAGGCGCGAAAGCCAGGGGAGCAAACGGG
RNAcentral lists this ribosomal RNA (253 nucleotides) under uncultured bacterium. RNAcentral describes it as "partial 16S ribosomal RNA". It matches the Rfam family "Bacterial small subunit ribosomal RNA", at positions 524 to 776 of the family's 1533-position model. The record is from RNAcentral.